Molecule: small nucleolar RNA, 106 nt
Organism: Hevea brasiliensis (rubber tree)
Lineage: Eukaryota; Viridiplantae; Streptophyta; Magnoliopsida; Malpighiales; Euphorbiaceae
Source: RefSeq, a predicted model, not a curated record
CUCAAGUUUGUGUCCCUGCUGUAUAUGUGGACAAAAAACCAUUUAUGUGAUUUAGGUGGGGUUCCGAUGAGUUUAGCAAUGCCCAUAAAGAACCCACAUUACAUGA